This 460-nucleotide ribosomal RNA is filed under the name uncultured bacterium. RNAcentral's name for it is "partial 16S ribosomal RNA". It matches the Rfam family "Bacterial small subunit ribosomal RNA", at positions 338 to 795 of the family's 1533-position model. The record is from RNAcentral.
CCUACGGGUGGCAGCAGUGAGGAAUAUUGGUCAAUGGACGCAAGUCUGAACCAGCCAUGCCGCGUGCAGGAAGACGGCUCUAUGAGUUGUAAACUGCUUUUGUACGAGGGUAAACGCAGAUACGCGUAUCUGUCUGAAAGUAUCGUACGAAUAAGGAUCGGCUAACUCCGUGCCAGCAGCCGCGGUAAUACGGGGGGUGCAAGGGUUGUCCGGAAUCAUUGGGCGUAAAGCGUUCGUAGGCGGCAAGGUAAGUCUGAUGUUAAAGCCCGGGGCUCAACCCCGGUUCGGCAUUGGAUACUAUCUAGCUAGAGUGUGGUAGAGGUAAAGGGAAUUCCUGGUGUAGCGGUGAAAUGCGUAGAUAUCAGGAGGAACAUCGGUGGCGAAGGCGCUUUACUGGACCAUUAUUGACGCUGAGGAACGAAAGCCAGGGGAGCAAAUGGGAUUAGAUACCCCUGUAGUC